RNAcentral lists this ribosomal RNA (504 nucleotides) under bacterium enrichment culture clone ALO1_GLFRUDD03F144M. RNAcentral describes it as "bacterial SSU rRNA". It matches the Rfam family "Bacterial small subunit ribosomal RNA", at positions 9 to 507 of the family's 1533-position model. The record is from RNAcentral.
GAGUUUGAUCUUGGCUCAGAUUGAACGCUGGCGGCAUGCCUUACACAUGCAAGUCGAACGGCAGCACGGGAGCUUGCUCCUGGUGGCGAGUGGCGAACGGGUGAGUAAUGCAUCGGAACGUAUCCUGGAGUGGGGGAUAACGUAGCGAAAGUUACGCUAAUACCGCAUAUUCUGUGAGCAGGAAAGCGGGGGACCUUCGGGCCUCGCGCUCUUGGAGCGGCCGAUGUCGGAUUAGCUAGUUGGUGAGGUAAAGGCUCACCAAGGCGACGAUCCGUAGCAGGUCUGAGAGGAUGAUCAGUCACACUGGAACUGAGACACGGUCCAGACUCCUACGGGAGGCAGCAGUGGGGAAUAUUGGACAAUGGGCGAAAGCCUGAUCCAGCCAUGCCGCGUGUGUGAAGAAGGUCUUCGGAUUGUAAAGCACUUUAAGUUGGGAGGAAGGGCUGUAAGUUAAUACCUUGCUGUUUGACGUUACCGACAGAAUAAGCACCGGCUAACUCUGUG